Chionomys nivalis (European snow vole) is the source of this 1318-nucleotide long non-coding RNA. RefSeq lists it as uncharacterized. Lineage: Eukaryota; Metazoa; Chordata; Mammalia; Rodentia; Cricetidae. The transcript has 5 exons. The record is from RefSeq and is a predicted model, not a curated record.
UACUGGGACCGGGAACACAGGCUUCCUCUCGGUGAUGAGAGGUUCAGCCUCCUAGGUGCCUUGUGUACCCUUAGGGGUGGGGAUCCACCACUCAGCAACAGUUCGAGGACGCUCCAGGUCCCAAGCUCACCCUUUGAGAUGCUAAGGUACCUGACUUUCCUACUGCAGUCACAGAGUCUUAAGGACCGGAAGGCGCAGCGGGGAACACAGGGGCCUGGCUGCCCAGGACGAGGUGCCUGCACUAGGCGCCCCCGAGCUCUGGGCGGGGCAGCGGUAUCUUGGAAGCGCUGGCCGGGGUAGGAACGCUCACAGCCUCCUGGAGUUCGCAGCCUAGUGUGCUCCAGCCCCAGAGCCAGCGCGGCGAACUCAGUGAGAUGCGGUGCAUUGAGAAGAUCCUAAAGGCCACGAGGUGCUUGGCGCAUCCCAAGACGCGGCUCGGCGCCAUCCUACUGUCACAUUCCUCUUGCUUUUCUCGCCUUCAAUGGUCCGGAGCCACAAGCAGGUGUGGGAUACAGCACCUCUGCUCCAAGUGGCUUGGACCCCUCGCGGCCAAUUCGGACGAACGAACCGCGGCUAGAGAGGGCCAGGGCCCAGGGCAUCUGCAAGUCAGAAAGGGGCGCGCUGCACACCGCCCCCACGACUCGCCAGGCAGCCAGCUUGAUUUUCCAUAAGCAUCAAGAGACUGAAAAUCCGCACUGCACUGUGGAAUAAGGCCCACAUUUCCUCAGGGACUUCAUAAAAAUGAAGAAGUUCUGGCUGGACAGACGACUCAGUGGGUAAAGGUGUUUGCUGCGGAACAUGGUGGAAGGAGAGAACCAUCCCCUACAAGCUGUCCUCUGCAGUGUGGCAGGCACACACUCAUUUCCCCAACAAGUGAGGACCACAGGUCCGUUCUAAUGGUUUGGAAACAGGUCCUUCCUCAGAUUGCCUUGGAAUUGGAAGAGGAACAAUUGAGCUACAGUAAGUUGCAGACCAGAAAUAUCAAAUGGAAGAUUCCAGAAAUAAAAACACAUGCCAUCCUAUACUGUACUGUCCUCGUCACGGUUUAGCCUUCCGUCCAAUGUAUCCAAGCUGUAUACACUACACUCCAGCAGCCACUUAGCUGUUUCAGUUUUAUGGAUGAGGAGACCAGACUGCUAUGAAAUAAAUGAAAACUUGCAAACGGAUGACCACUGGAUCCUUGGUUAACACACACUCUCACCACACACAUUUCCCAGGGAAGAUCUUUGCUUUAAUCGUACUCUCCAACCAGCACCAGGUGAGUGGUGUGGAGUUCCAAGGAAGGCCAGGGGCUCCUUGACCUCCACUGGAUCCUGCA